AAAGAUUCAUCGCUGAUAGAUAGGCAUGCGUUCCAUUAGGCAGUUGGCGGGGUAACGGCCCACCAAACCGACGAUGGAUAGGGGUUCUGAGAGGAAGGUCCCCCACAUUGGUACUGAGACACGGACCAAACUCCUACGGGAGGCAGCAGUGAGGAAUAUUGGUCAAUGGGCGUAAGCCUGAACCAGCCAAGUCGCGUGAGGGAUGAAGGUUCUAUGGAUCGUAAACCUCUUUUAUAAGGGAAUAAAGUGUGGGACGUGUCCUAUUUUGUAUGUACCUUAUGAAUAAGGAUCGGCUAACUCCGUGCCAGCAGCCGCGGUAAUACGGAGGAUCCGAGCGUUAUCCGGAUUUAUUGGGUUUAAAGGGUGCGUAGGCGGCCUUUUAAGUCAGCGGUGAAAGUCUGUGGCUCAACCAUAGAAUUGCCGUUGAAACUGGGGGGCUUGAGUAUGUUUGAGGCAGGCGGAAUGCGUGGUGUAGCGGUGAAAUGCUUAGAUAUCACGCAGAACCCCGAUUGCGAAGGCAGCCUGCCAAGCCAUGACUGACGCUGAUGCACGAAAGCGUGGGGAUCAAACAGGAUUAGAUACCCUGGUAGUCCACGCAGUAAACGAUGAUCACUAGCUGUUUGCGAUACAGUGUAAGCGGCACAG
This 645-nucleotide ribosomal RNA is filed under the name uncultured bacterium. RNAcentral's name for it is "bacterial SSU rRNA". It matches the Rfam family "Bacterial small subunit ribosomal RNA", at positions 202 to 851 of the family's 1533-position model. The record is from RNAcentral.